RNAcentral lists this ribosomal RNA (618 nucleotides) under Pulchrana picturata. RNAcentral's name for it is "partial large subunit ribosomal RNA". It matches the Rfam family "Bacterial large subunit ribosomal RNA", at positions 1797 to 2637 of the family's 2925-position model. The record is from RNAcentral. Lineage: Eukaryota; Metazoa; Chordata; Amphibia; Anura; Ranidae.
CGCCUGUUUAUCAAAAACAUCGCCUCUUGCCUCCCAUAAGAGGUCCAGCCUGCCCGGUGACAAAGUUUAACGGCCGCGGUACCCUGACCGUGCGAAGGUAGCAUAAUCACUUGUUCUUUAAAUAGGGACUCGUAUCAACGGCAUCACGAGGGCUGUACUGUCUCCUUUCUCUAAUCAGUGAAACUGAUCCCCCCGUGAAGAAGCGGGGAUUUAAUUAUAAGACGAGAAGACCCCAUGGAGCUUUAAGCCUAAUAUUUAGCCAACGCCGACAUACCUUCUAAGUUAUAAAGGCCCUAAAUACCCGCUUUAGGUUGGGGGGACCGCGGAGUAUAACCAAACCUCCAUGACUAAUGGGCCUCGCCCUUAUCCACGAACUACACCUCUAAGAAUCAACAAACUGAUGUUUGAUGACCCGAAACAUUCGAUCAACGAACCAAGUUACCCUGGGGAUAACAGCGCAAUCCACUUCAAGAGUCCAUAUCGACAAGUGGGUUUACGACCUCGAUGUUGGAUCAGGGUAUCCUAGUGGUGCAGUCGCUACUAAAGGUUCGUUUGUUCAACGAUUAAAACCCUACGUGAUCUGAGUUCAGACCGGACGUCGUGAUCUGAGUUCAGACC